Molecule: ribosomal RNA, 406 nt
Filed under: uncultured bacterium
Lineage: Bacteria
Description: partial 16S ribosomal RNA
Rfam family: Bacterial small subunit ribosomal RNA
Source: RNAcentral
AUUGAACGCUGGCGGCAGGCCUAACACAUGCAAGUCGAACGAGAGGCGGACGGGUGAGAUAUGUCUGUGACACUGCCUGAUGGAGGGCGACAACUAAUGGAAACGGUAGCUAAUACCGCAUACAAUCAGAUCUGCCGAGAUGGGAUUAGCGAGUUGGUGGGGUAAUGGCGCACCAAGGCGACGAUCCCUAGCUGGGCUGAGAGGAUGACCAGCCACACUGGGACGGAGACACGGACCAGACUCCUACGGGAGGCAGCAGUGGGGAAUAUUGGACAAUGGGCGAAAGCCUGAUGCAGCCAUGCCGCGUGUGUGAAGAAGGCCUUCGGGUUGUAAAGCACUUUCAGCUAGGAGGCGUUACUCGCAGAAUAAGCACCGGCUAACUCCGUGCCAGCAGCCGCGGUAAUAC